GGCUCUGUGGCCCAAUGGAGGCGCAUUGGACUUCUAUUCAAAAGGUUGUGGGUUUGAGUCCCACCAGAGUCG
Molecule: non-coding RNA, 72 nt
Organism: Gymnothorax javanicus (giant moray)
Lineage: Eukaryota; Metazoa; Chordata; Actinopteri; Anguilliformes; Muraenidae
Source: the annotation of a GenBank genome assembly